This is a long non-coding RNA of Vidua macroura (Pin-tailed whydah), 2164 nucleotides long. RefSeq lists it as uncharacterized. NCBI's taxonomy places the organism in Eukaryota, Metazoa, Chordata, Aves, Passeriformes, Viduidae. The transcript is spliced from 3 exons. The record is from RefSeq and is a predicted model, not a curated record.
UCCCAAAAUAGUGGCGCUCAUGCCAGCCAUGUGAGCAGAGGUAUUGGAGGACAAAAACAACAUUGUGCCUGCACCCCCUCCUCCUCGGAAGAAGACAUCACUUCUCCUGGAUCCAGUGAUUCCAUCGAUCCAUGGCAGAAGACCCGGCUAACCACGGUAAAAAACAGCAGGGAGAGGAUUGGCCCUACAUGGAAACCUCUAGCCUACAGGGAUAUAAACGGACUGAGAUGGCCUGGGUAGUCGGGGCAUUUGAGAGGGUUGGCUCAUUACUAUGGCAACACCUGACCUCCAAGCAAGAUGUAAGAAAGUGAUCUCCACCACUGGACAGCGAAAAAGGAGUCGAUUGUCAAGACAUUGGGAGGGGCUAAAGGGUAAAAAGGUAAAGGACCUCGGUGGGUUCCAGCAAAGAACAUCAUGCCAUAUCUGCAGCCUCUGCAAGAUCACCAAGAAGCUCUACAGGAGGAAUCCUGAGAAGAACCUGCAGAAAUGAUACCUUGAGGCUUGCAAAUAACCAUCUCUCACUUCCUAUCUGUUGUUAAUUAAUGCCACUAUUUUCUUAACCCCUUAAACAUUAUUAAUUUUUGAGUUUAACCCACAGGUUGUUCCACUGGAAAUGGCUCCUAGGAGACUCCUGUUCACUAUACCCAUCCUGAUCGAUGCCGUGCUCCUCGCUAAGACCUGGGAAGUCCCACAGCAAAGAAAAAUGUCUGGGUUACAUUAGCUAACAUCACCAAGCAGGAAACCCUGUGUCUGUCAGUAGCCACCCCUGAUAACCCCUUUUCCACCUGCUUAGUGGUGUUAUCAAUGGAUGUGUGGCCCUUAAACAAGGAUGCCAUCCAUGUUUUGCUUCCUCACAAGGAAUGGAUUCACAAUCCCAUUGAUAACUGGGAUUACUGGGCCAGGAAGUUACCACAUGCACCACUAGAACCCCAAGAACUGGAAAUUCUAGGCUCUGUAAAAAAGUAUUUUUGUGUUAGAUUUCAUUAUAUCAAAAUUACUCCCAAUUUAUUAUAUACUAUCAUUACUGCCGGUGCUAUAACAAAGCAACCAGAUACAUUGUGGGAUGUUUCCCCACAUCAUGCAGUUUAUAAAAAUGAAAGUACCUGGUGUAACUACACCCAUCAUUUCCUGGUCCAGAAAACACCCAUUACAGUUACCACCUGGGACAUUUCUCAUUUGUGGAGACAGAGCAUGUCCUGCCAUUCCAUCUUGCAUUAAGGGCAGGCCAUGUAGCCUGGGGAGGCUUACUGUACUAGUGGUACAGGAUAUGCCAUAUGACCAAGCCCCAGGAUUGGCUUCUCCCAGUCAGAUCUCUUGUAAUGCUGCAAGCAUUUCACUGGCCAGAUCCCAAUGAGGCGUGGAGUUCAGACCAAUGAGAAUAUCCAGACCAGGUCUUUCAAAAUGCCCUUUAUAAGGGGGUGGGGGGUGUGGAAAAGAAAUCUCUCUGUUGCCACACAAACAUCUGGGGGUGCGUUGUGUCUUCGUCUCCUUGCCCCUCACCCCUGCCAUGUGCAACCUAACAUGUAGUGACCUCCGAAGUGAUCAGGACUCAGCCAUAGCCUGGCACAGAGCAAAGGAGACAGAUGGCCAGCUGGUUUUUGGUCUAGAACUGAAUUAAUAAACAGCCUGAGAGCUGGGAAUUGGAGUAAAACCUGGACAACAGGACAUCAGAGCCUGGAUUGGUGCUUGGAACCAGAGGCAGCCUGAGAGAUGGGAACAGCAUAAAAGGAAUGGUGUAAAAACCAGACUUUUGGUGAAAAAUUGGGAUUCACUGGCUAGACAGUGGUGUGAAAAAUGUAUAUUUUAUGAUUGGCUUUUCACAAAUGUUACAAUGAAUAUUAUAUGUGUAAUGUUGGAAAGUUACGCGGUAUUAACAUUUUAAUAAUAGAGUAAAUGUAGUUUUGCAAUUAAAAUUAAGCUUUAGUAGUUAAAAUAGAACCUAUGGGUGUGAGAUAAGAUAAUCAAGAAAUUCUUCGCACAGAGAUAACAAUUACAGAAACCACUAAAUUUUCCAGAGGAGAGGAAUUUAUGGCUUUCCUUAUCAAUAGAAAUGAACUUCCUCAAGCCUGACUUAGACUCGAAGGCGCCUGGGGAUUAACAGAAAUUUUUUUAUAAGUACCAGACGAAUAUCUUGUUUUAAAUAAAAUACAUGCAUAAUCAUGAA